AUUAGCCCCAGCCUCAGCUGCCACCGAAGACCGGGUCGGACACUGAGCGUGUGUAAGCGGAGGAUUUGACCGCACGACGGAGGAAAUGUGAGCGACAAUGUGACGUUUGGGAGCCUCGACGAGGAUUAUCGCCGUCUCCAGCCGUGGGCUGAUUUUCCCUCAAAAGAUAAGCGACUUUCGGCAUGCAGAGCCUGCUGCGGAUCUGCGAGCCUCCACUAACGUGAAGCAAGAGCGUAGCUUGUUAAAAGUGCAGCUUUAGCCAUCGCUACAAGAUUGCUAGUUUUCUCUGAAAGUGCAUUUCCUCCCUAAAAAUGUUCUCGGAGCACGUCGUCGGAAUAUCAGAGUCAGCGGUGUGAUUUAUAAUUGAUAACGGAGGACGGAGCUGCCGGACACCGCCCGGACCGGGAUUUCAUCCUCUUUGGGGAAAAGAAAAGGACUGGCAGCUUCCAGCUGGGCGUGCAGACGGACGGAAACGACGCUCAUCACCUGGAAUGUUUGGAAAGUGAAAUUGUUUUAGGUUAUCUGUUUAAAAGGGGCCCUUACUGGAGGGAUACCUGCAUGAUUCUGGGAGCAGUCCAGCCAUUCAGAGCCCCUAAAGCGGAUGCGUGGAUAAGUGAAGCUCCUAUUUUUGUACUCAAGGACACCUUCAGUGUCGGUGGGUGUAGUUUCUUGCAGCCUGGCAGUAUUUGGGUUUUGAAGCACAAGCCGGAGCAGGAUUUCUACGGGGACUUCAGAUUAUCGGAAUUAAAGCUCUUUAGCCCCCCAGCACCACUUUUCUCUGAGCCUUGGUCUCCAGCAUCGAUGCGGAUAGCUCUUCCGUGCCCGUUACUUUAAAUACGCUAUUGGAGUAACGUUACUUGAGCUUUUUGAGGCGAAUAGGAGUUUUAUCAACAGCCGUGUGACCUCCUCCCCUCUGCCACCCACCCAUCCUGCUCUUUCCAGGAUCUACGUGUACAGGAGUGUUUCUCGUGGCUGUGCACGGCAAGCCCACCGGCACCUGGAUCCCUGCUUCGCCCCGUUUUUUUCUUUUCUGCUGCCUAACCGCGCGAGCGUCUGUUCCGCUGCCCGAGCUCACUCACACACUCUCUCACACACACACACCGCUUUUUUUUCAGCACCAGAAAACAAACAAACAAACAAACAAAGAAAACUACCAAGAUAGCUCCUCUCGCUUCGUGUGCAAGGGAAGGAGUCGCGCAAGAGUGGAGACCGUGAGUUUGGAUAAGGUGCUGAGCCCGAUCGGCUUUAAAGCAUUUUAUUGAGAGGGGAGUCCUCACUGUGUUUUCCAUUAGUGGACUGAUCGGGGGAGAAAGACGAGAGGAUUUUUGUGGAGGGGGUAGAAAAGAGACACAUCAGGAGGAGAGGAGUUGGUGAUCGAUGAAGGUGUCAGAAAGGUCUGACAUUGGAACCAGAUGACAGAAAGGAAUGUUCUCCAGAGAGGGAAGCAGAUGGCAGGCAGGUGAGGGCAGCGGUGGAGGGUGAGCAGGCAGGUGCAGCAAUGGAGGUGAGUGGAGGAGGGAAAACAUCUUGGCGGGGUUGCACUUGAACAGGUCUUCAGCCGAUGGAGGAUGAACGUAGAGAGAAAACACGUGAGAACAAAAAUACACAGGUUUGCACUAGGAAACGCAUUUGGCUUUUUACUACUCGAUCUGGGGUAAUGGGGACGAUGGACGGAUCAGCUAGUCCUCAUAUACUAGCGUUAAUGACGAUUAUCAGCACCAGAUGUGUCAGGCAAGAGAGCGAGAACAGAGCGUUCCGCCCACUAAGGAGGAGAAUAUCUGCAGGACGGUUACUCAGGAGAAGGAGAAACUGGACCAACCCACGCCCUUAUGACACAAACGGCAUUAUUUGCAGCCAGACAGUAGGCUUUUAAAACAGUUGUCAUCUAGAAUCCUUUUUGUCAUCUACCUCCAUAAGCUCUGAGCUUUUUCCUCUGUGCUUCCAAAUAAAAAGCUUCUUUAAUACCGGACAAAACACCUGCUGACAUCCGCUGACAUCUGGCUGUUAUCUCGAAGAUGAAGGAUUGCCACAUCAAACAACCGU
Molecule: long non-coding RNA, 2043 nt
Organism: Oreochromis aureus
Lineage: Eukaryota; Metazoa; Chordata; Actinopteri; Cichliformes; Cichlidae
Source: Ensembl